RNAcentral lists this ribosomal RNA (520 nucleotides) under uncultured Entrophospora. RNAcentral's name for it is "SSU rRNA". It matches the Rfam family "Eukaryotic small subunit ribosomal RNA", at positions 569 to 1084 of the family's 1831-position model. Lineage: Eukaryota; Fungi; Glomeromycota; Glomeromycetes; Entrophosporales; Entrophosporaceae. The record is from RNAcentral.
AGCAGCCGCGGUAAUUCCAGCUCCAAUAGCGUAUAUUAAAGUUGUUGCAGUUAAAAAGCUCGUAGUUGAAUUUCGGGAUUGACACAUCGGUCGUGCCUUAAGGGGUAUGAACUGGUGUAGUCAAUUUCUCACCUUCUGGAGAACCACGAUGUCCUUAAUUGGGUGCCGCGAGGAACCAGGACCUUUACUUUGAAAAAAAUUAGAGUGUUUAAAGCAGGCAUUUUUGCUUGAAUACAUUAGCAUGGAAUAAUAAAAUAGGACGGCAUGAUUCUAUUUUGUGGUUUCUAGGAUCACCGUAAUGAUUAAUAGGGAUAGUUGGGGGCAUUAGUAUUCAAUUGUCAGAGGUGAAAUUCUUGGAUUUAUUGAAGACUAACUACUGCGAAAGCAUUUGCCAAGGAUGUUUUCAUUAAUCAAGAACGAAAGUUAGGGGAUCGAAGACGAUCAGAUACCGUCGUAGUCUUAACCAUAAACUAUAGCCGACUAGGAAUCAGACGAUGUAAUUUUUAAUGACUCGUUUGGC